RNAcentral lists this long non-coding RNA (686 nucleotides) under Vigna radiata. Its description in RNAcentral is "long non-coding RNA (VRAD_LNC004239)". Lineage: Eukaryota; Viridiplantae; Streptophyta; Magnoliopsida; Fabales; Fabaceae. The record is from RNAcentral.
UGGGCAAAAUCAAGACGCAAAACAGGGAACAGUACAGAGGACAUCAAGAAGGUGACAGGGACUAAACAGACAGAAAACAAGGACUCUCAAUGAAAGAAACAGAAUUACACAGUUCUCAAGAAAUCUGGACAGUGAAAGGAAGUGGACAGUAUCCAACACAAAAUCAAAGAAAACAGAUAUUCAUGAAAUCAUCCAAGCAGUUCAAAGCAUGACAAAACGAUCAAUCAGCUUAAGAGGUGAAUCAUGUUGGUAUCGUAGGGGUUAAUUUUAAAAAAGUGUUUAGCGCAGCGGAUUAAAAUACACAGAGCGUACAGCGUAACAAGUCACAGUUGAAACAAUUUUUCCCUUUUUAAUUUUAAACAAUUUUCUUUCAGAAAAUUUACCAAGCAGAUAACGUGCGUUAAUUAUAAAAUGAGUAUAGGGCAAAAGAAAAUCACACAGGGAUUUUUAUACUGGUUCGAUUCAAUAGAAUCUACGUCCAAUCGUUAAUCACUACAAAGAGUGAUUAACAGUUCCACUAAAAAAUUGUUUAACAGAUUACAAGAUAAAAACAGUAAUAGAAUGAAAGAGAUAACUCUACCAACUUGAAGAGAACCUGCACUGGCAAUCGACACACGAUUCACGUGCUUCUCCUUUCACAAGAUCAGGUAGAGAACCCUGCCAACUUGAAGAGAGUCCACUUCUUG